CCUGGUGGCUCAGAGGGUAAAGCAUCUGCCUGCAAUGUAGGAGACCUGGGUUCAAUCCCCAGGUCAGGA
Molecule: transfer RNA, 69 nt
Filed under: Ovis aries (sheep)
Lineage: Eukaryota; Metazoa; Chordata; Mammalia; Artiodactyla; Bovidae
Rfam family: tRNA
About the family: Transfer RNA (tRNA) molecules are approximately 80 nucleotides in length. Their secondary structure includes four short double-helical elements and three loops (D, anti-codon, and T loops).
Source: Rfam by way of RNAcentral